Molecule: long non-coding RNA, 223 nt
Organism: Hibiscus syriacus
Lineage: Eukaryota; Viridiplantae; Streptophyta; Magnoliopsida; Malvales; Malvaceae
Exons: 3
Source: RefSeq, a predicted model, not a curated record
GAACCUUCUUCUACAGAGAGAUUACAUUCUGAUUAUCAAAUGGAUUAUCCUUUCGAAGAUCUUCACAGUGGAAUUGGUUCCCCAUCUCAUGUUGCUGCAGUAGAGUUACCGCGAAGUAAGGAAACUAAAGGGACACCAGUGGAAAUUAAUCACUUUGUCUCGUCAGGAAACUCUGGAGAUGCAGUAAGAUCCAAUGGUAGCUCAGUAUCCGGAGAUGGAAUCC